CUCCGUACUUUUAAUUAUUGUAUUUUUCAUUUUCUUCUACGGCCCAAACAGUUUUCGUCAGGAAUUUCCUUUUCUUAAAUUUGUGAUUUUAUAUUUAAGCCGCCAAAAAGUGUAGGUUCUGUUACCCGCAUUUCUAAAAUCAGUUCAGUUAAUUGAGGAACUAUUGCACCGUACCACAGGGCCAGUUGUUCCUUCGCGCGUCGUUUCAGCCUUGCCUAUCGAAAGCCCUACUUGUAAGUCAACGGCCCAAAUGUUUUACAUGGAACUAAAAUGAAAAUAAAACCCCAAGUGAGUGCGAAUUUUCAUCGUAAAAUUAAGUGUGUGUUUGGAUUGUGGUUUUUAAUCGCUGCGUCUCACUCGAAUAUCGGCCGGGAAUGAUGUGAAGUUGCCCUCAUUAUGUGAAAUCCAACUCCGAAUUUCCAAAUUUUACGGUCAAAACAAACAUAAUAAUGGUUUGAAUAAAUUUAUCUCAAUGACAAUCAUGUUUGUAUUUCAUAUUAAACUCUGACUUAUUGUUUCUAGUUUGUGCUCCGGAUUACAUAAAAGCUAGUUUCGAGAGUUCAAUAAUUUCUGUGAGUGGUCAAUUCUCCGCCAACUGACUCCUGCAUUCUUAACCUGACCGUUUAUUUACCAUGGUAUUCGGGCGAAUUUUCCCGUUGUAUUCGUGCAGGUGCCUUUUAAAGAGCCAAAUUAUUUGAACUAGCGCAACCAGGAUUUGAACAAUUUGUACCGCUGGUAGUUACAGAUGUACGUUUCCAGAGUUAUGCUCCUCUAGAUGUGAACAUAUCUGAUUUGUUUCAUCAGAUUAUUCUUCAGCUUUUGUGUUCUAUCCUUUAUGCCAUUAUGGAUGAUAGUUACCUAUCUGGUCAACUAACCACCUCAUUUCAUCUAAUGCAGACUCUCCAUUACUUAACCAGCGAUGUGCUCUAAAAGACGAAAAUGAACGGAGAAGUUCCAAGUGUGCCAAUUAUCACAUUGGCCAGUAUCACCAGCCUCUCCGAUGGUAAGUUGAAUAUAGUCUUAGGCCCUGUCCACUCGAGCGUGGUUUGAGGAACUUAUUCAACGAACUGCUCAGUUCCCAGAACUUGUUCCUUAAAACGAGGCAUGCUGUCCACACGAGUUUGCCCGAACUGGAACCGGAACUUCAAUAAAACUAUAAAAUUAUUGCAAAAUAAUAGAUUAUUACGGCCGCCAAAGUAACAAAAAUAAAUUUCAAGACAUGUAAAGGAC
Molecule: long non-coding RNA, 1230 nt
Filed under: Bemisia tabaci
Lineage: Eukaryota; Metazoa; Arthropoda; Insecta; Hemiptera; Aleyrodidae
Description: lncRNA ENSSSA3NGG007156
Source: RNAcentral